UACGUAGGGUGCAGGCGUUAAUCGGAAUUAUUGGGCGUAAAGCGUGCGCAGGCGGUUUCUUAAGUCAGAUGUGAAAGCCCCGGGCUUAACCUGGGAACUGCGUUUGAAACUGGGAGACUUGAGUGUGGCAGAGGGGGGUGGAAUUCCACGUGUAGCAGUGAAAUGCGUAGAUAUGUGGAGGAACACCGAUGGCGAAGGCAGCCCCCUGGGUUAACACUGACGCUCAUGCACGAAAGCGUGGGGAGCAAACAGG
This 253-nucleotide ribosomal RNA is filed under the name uncultured bacterium. RNAcentral's name for it is "partial 16S ribosomal RNA". It matches the Rfam family "Bacterial small subunit ribosomal RNA", at positions 524 to 776 of the family's 1533-position model. The record is from RNAcentral.